RNAcentral lists this ribosomal RNA (272 nucleotides) under uncultured bacterium. RNAcentral describes it as "partial 16S ribosomal RNA". It matches the Rfam family "Bacterial small subunit ribosomal RNA", at positions 523 to 796 of the family's 1533-position model. The record is from RNAcentral.
AUACGAAGGUCCCAAGCGUUAUUCGGAAUCACUGGGCGUAAAGAGUACGUAGGCGGUUUGGUAUGUCAGGUGUGAAAUCCCGAAGCUCAACUUCGGAACUGCAUCCGAUACUGCCAGACUUGAGUAAUGGAGAGGCAGGUGGAAUUCUCGGUGUAGCAGUGAAAUGCGUGGAUAUCGAGGAAGACCAAUGGCGAAGGCAGCCUGCUGGACAUUUACUGACGCUGAGGUACGAAGGCUAGGGGAGCGAAAGGGAUUAGAAACCCCAGUAGUCC